This is a long non-coding RNA of Cervus elaphus (red deer), 3738 nucleotides long. RefSeq lists it as uncharacterized. Lineage: Eukaryota; Metazoa; Chordata; Mammalia; Artiodactyla; Cervidae. The transcript has 4 exons. The record is from RefSeq and is a predicted model, not a curated record.
GAUGUAAGCAGGUACAUCCCAGAAACACAUCACAGCAGAUCCUUCAGCUGUGCCCUCACCCCUGCUCUUGGGGCGUCACACUGUCUCCCUCCCUGAAACAUGCUGAAUAGCUCACAGGCUUCCCGGAGGGGUGGUCACAUGACCCCCCCCUGGCCAAUCAGCAUGUUCCAUCCUCCUGGACGCCUGUGAUUGGCUCAGGGCUGGACAAAUGACUAAUCAGGGCAUAAGCUGGAAUCCUGGGGAAUGGAGGUUUAUUUCCGUUAGGAACAGGGGAUACCUGAGGCCAGCCUGUGGCAGUUGGAGGGAUGUGACGUCAGCCUGUGGCAGUUGGAGGGCUUGUUCCACAAAGGCAGAGCUACUUGGGUGAGGAUGACAGCAGUAAGCAGAGCUGAGAGGUGGGGAAAGACAAUUCCUGCUGACGUCCCUGAGACCCAGCCUCCCGUGGUGCCACAGGAGAGACCCAGCGAACAAUGAAUUGACAGCUCAGCACAGGAAGGCAGGUGAGAGGCUGUGUGCUGUUGAGAAUGGAAACUCGCCGCUUCACUCCGUCCGUGUGCUGGGUCUGGAGUCCACCCCCUACACAGUAGGGCCUCAGUGAACCUGCACUGCGUGUGUGGACGCCGAGGCCAUGGACAAGAAGGUUCCAGGCGGUGAUGGGCCCUCUGGUCACCAGCAGCCUGAGACAUCUUGGCCAGUGGAAGGAGACUGUGUCCUGCCCUACUCAUGGAUGCCCUGCUCUCUCUGGAACUGUGAUGGACAAAUAGAGUGACCAGAGGCAGCUGUAGCCCAGCCAGCCCCACCCCACACCUCACAGAAGAGGAGAGUCUGUGAGCACAAUGUUCCGUCAUCAGAGUCAACUACUGUCCAGCCCUGAGGUGGGGAUGUCUGGAGAUGGAGAGCACAGAGCACUGGUGUGGAUGGUCCCGGAAGCAAGGGGGCUGGCCCAGGCCCCUCUCCCCAGCCUGGCUCCUGACCUCUGUCCUGUGUGUGCCUGACACUCCAGCUUCCUCCUGCCAGACUGCCUGCUCCCCGGUCCCUGUGGUCACACCCACACAUCAGGACAAUUCCCCCCACCAAAGGGGAGAUCCUGACAUCUGCAUGAGAGUCAGGAGACUCAGCUGCACAGGGACCUGAUCACACUGCACACAGGCUUUCACGGGACUCUGUCCUAGUUAUGGGCAUCUCAGUCAUGAUUAACACAGGCCCCAGGGACCAAAAGUUCCCCUCAGCCCUUCUGAAGAUGUUGGGUAAUGUCAGUGCAGGGAGGUCAUACACACUUUCUGCAUCUCGGCCCUGCAGCGCAGCAGUUGUUGCUGUUGGAAGUCACUGUCCUUAUUUUCUUGGUUGUCUUUGCAUUUAGUUGUUCUGAUUUACUUCUAGUACCACGUGACUGCACGCUUCUUAGACUGGAAAAUACACAGCCUCAAUUCUGUUCAGGGAGGAUGCAAAACUGGAGCAUCAAGUUUAUCAACAGGAAUUGGAAGAACCAAAGAGCUGACAAGAACUCUCCCGCGCCCCCUCUCACAUGGAGGACAGAAGAGUGGGGUAGGGAGACAUGCCCAGGAGAGGCAGUCGGGUCUCUGCAGUUGCAGGUGAGAGCCGAGGGGGGCCCUGCAGCCAGGUGGGCCCUCUUCUGGUCGCCAGGCCGCUGCAGACCGUCCUCUGAGCUGGCCAGGGCUUUGGAUACGAUGCUUCUGAAGGCCGUGGAGGGGUGGGAUACCCUCCUGAUUCAAAUCUUGUCAGAGGAUUCGACCCCCCGACCACUGCCAGGGAGGGCGUCUUGACGUUUCUUCUUGGGUCAUCCAUGGACUUUCCCUGGGCUCCGUUUGUUACGCCGCCUCUUGCUGGGCAGACUGUUAAACACCUUCUUAUUCUCAGGCAAGCCCUGCUCUUCCUGGCUGUGGCCAGAGGAAAGUGUCUGGGGACACACGCUCAGGCUGCCCAGCGUGGGAGGAGCUCCUGGUGUUGGACACAUCCAGGGGCAGCUGCUUCCCUCUGGAACUCCAGUCCUGCUGCUGGUGUUGCUGGUGGAGGGAAGGCCUCAGGGCCACACGGGGGGCUGGGCUGGGGAUGGCGGGCCUCUGCUCCAGGCCGGGUGGAGACCGGCAGGCUCUCUGAUCUUCUGCCCUGACUCCUGGUCCUCCUGCAGUUGUACAUUUUACUUACCUCUGGCCACAGCCAUAAAGAGCAGGGUUCACUUGAAAAUAUGCAGGAUUAUAAUAGUCUGCCCAGCAAGAGGCUGCGUAACAAACGGAGCCCUGGUUGAGCCAUGUGGUAUAAGUAUGGACACCUCAGGCCUUAGGGAAGGCUUGUUAUGGCUGCUGAGGUCCAUGGGAGGGGAGAGCCUCGCAGUGAUGGAGCAGCCGUCCACCUUGUGUUCCCCUGAGCUUACGGUGCAGUGCCUGCUGCCUGUUCCCUGAGUCACGGAUCAGGUCCCACCUCGACACCAGUGUCCUCACCACUGUCACCCCCGGGGUCACAGGGCGGCACACAGAAUGGCCUGAGCGGCUCCUUCUGGCCCAGGUUCACCCCUGGAGGCCUUGUCAGUCAUUUAAGGUGCUUUUGUCACUGGGGUUGAGGACCAUAUUUUUUUAGCAAAUUCCUUCUCUGAUGACAGACACAGGGGAAUGGGGUGUUGCCCUACGAGGAUUCACAGCCACAGCUCUGAGAAGUCCUGUCCCCCAAAGGGCAGGGUCCCGGUCACCAUGAGUAGAGAACUACUCCCAGACUCCACACAUCCACCACAGGGCAGUCGGAGCCCUGUCCCCGAAAGAAUUCUCAGGCAGUAAGUGCAGCUGCCAUAGAAGUGUUGAGCUUCCCACUCUCAUCACACUCAUUGCUGAGGCCAAAGUCUGUAAUUUUCACACACUACUUGGUGUCAAAGAGGAGGUUCCCUGGCUUCAGGUCACAGUGCAGGACGUGCCUCUGGAGGCCGAGCUGCAGGGCAGAGACCAGCUGUCUGAGUGGCCCUCGGGUGUCAGCCUCUGUCAUGUCCCAUGGUCCUCAAAAUGGCUGCACAUGUCCCGCUCACUGAGGCCCUUAUCUCCAGGAAGAAGGUCUCCUCUGUGUCAGUCACCUCCAGGAGUUUGACGAUGUUUUCAUGGUCCAGAGCCUUCAUACUAUUCACUUCCCAGAAGAGUCCUGGAGGCUGGAGGACCUUUGCUGACUCUUCUUAAUGACCUUUAUGGCCAACUCUGUCCCAGUCAGAAUGUACUGGGCUCACUUUGGCGAAUCAACCUUUACCAAUAAUGUAAAGAAUCGCAAUUCUCAAUAGAAGCCUUGUCCCCGAGACGGCUGUGAGGCCCAGCACCAUGGUGAUCUGCUGACUACACUGACUGCCAGCAUUAACUAGCAAUGCUAACUAUGCUAACUAUGCUAAUUAUAUUCCUGCAGCAGGGAGUCCUCCAGGUUGGAGUGAAGGGCUCUGGAUGGCAGCUCAAAAUGUUAGGAAUUCACAUUUGGUAAAAGUAGAUAGGCAGGCAAUUAGAAAAGCUAGCCUCGGGACUUCUCUGGUAGUCCAGUGAUUAACAAUCUCUGGUGCUAAUGCAAGAGGACUAGGUUGAAACUGGUCCAAUCCCUGGUCAGGGAAGUAGAUCCCACAAGCUACAACUAAGACCCAGUGCAGUCAAAUUAAAUAAAAAAAAAAAGCUAGUCCUAUUUUAACUUUGGUUUGUAGCUCCACUUUUUGUUUUCUCUUUGACAAGAUUAAUAAAGUUUAAAAAUUUGUCUGCUUUUGGA